GUGGGAAUAGCUCAGUUGGUAGAGCGUUGCCUUGCCAUGGCAAAGGUCGCGGGUUCGAAUCCCGUUUCCCACUCCA
Molecule: transfer RNA, 76 nt
Filed under: bacterium
Lineage: Bacteria
Description: tRNA-Gly
Rfam family: tRNA
About the family: Transfer RNA (tRNA) molecules are approximately 80 nucleotides in length. Their secondary structure includes four short double-helical elements and three loops (D, anti-codon, and T loops).
Source: RNAcentral